RNAcentral lists this ribosomal RNA (2910 nucleotides) under Salmonella enterica subsp. enterica. Its description in RNAcentral is "bacterial LSU rRNA". It matches the Rfam family "Bacterial large subunit ribosomal RNA". Lineage: Bacteria; Pseudomonadati; Pseudomonadota; Gammaproteobacteria; Enterobacterales; Enterobacteriaceae. The record is from RNAcentral.
GGGUUGUGAGGUUAAGCGACUAAGCGUACACGGUGGAUGCCCUGGCAGUCAGAGGCGAUGAAGGGCGUGCUAAUCUGCGAUAAGCGCCGGUAAGGUGAUAUGAACCGUUAUAACCGGCGAUACCCGAAUGGGGAAACCCAGUGUGAUUCGUCACACUAUCAUUAACUGAAUCCAUAGGUUAAUGAGGCGAACCGGGGGAACUGAAACAUCUAAGUACCCCGAGGAAAAGAAAUCAACCGAGAUUCCCCCAGUAGCGGCGAGCGAACGGGGAGGAGCCCAGAGCCUGAAUCAGCAUGUGUGUUAGUGGAAGCGUCUGGAAAGGCGCGCGAUACAGGGUGACAGCCCCGUACACAAAAGCGCAUGUGCUGUGAGCUCGAUGAGUAGGGCGGGACACGUGGUAUCCUGUCUGAAUAUGGGGGGACCAUCCUCCAAGGCUAAAUACUCCUGACUGACCGAUAGUGAACCAGUACCGUGAGGGAAAGGCGAAAAGAACCCCGGCGAGGGGAGUGAAAAAGAACCUGAAACCGUGUACGUACAAGCAGUGGGAGCACCCUUUGGGUGUGACUGCGUACCUUUUGUAUAAUGGGUCAGCGACUUAUAUUCUGUAGCAAGGUUAACCGAAUAGGGGAGCCGGAGGGAAACCGAGUCUUAAUUGGGCGUUAAGUUGCAGGGUAUAGACCCGAAACCCGGUGAUCUAGCCAUGGGCAGGUUGAAGGUUGGGUAACACUAACUGGAGGACCGAACCGACUAAUGUUGAAAAAUUAGCGGAUGACCUGUGGCUGGGGGUGAAAGGCCAAUCAAACCGGGAGAUAGCUGGUUCUCCCCGAAAGCUAUUUAGGUAGCGCCUCGUGAAUUCAUCUCCGGGGGUAGAGCACUGUUUCGGCUAGGGGGCCAUCCCGGCUUACCAACCCGAUGCAAACUGCGAAUACCGGAGAAUGUUAUCACGGGAGACACACGGCGGGUGCUAACGUCCGUCGUGAAGAGGGAAACAACCCAGACCGCCAGCUAAGGUCCCAAAGUCAUGGUUAAGUGGGAAACGAUGUGGGAAGGCCCAGACAGCCAGGAUGUUGGCUUAGAAGCAGCCAUCAUUUAAAGAAAGCGUAAUAGCUCACUGGUCGAGUCGGCCUGCGCGGAAGAUGUAACGGGGCUAAACCAUGCACCGAAGCUGCGGCAGCGACACUGUGUGUUGUUGGGUAGGGGAGCGUUCUGUAAGCCUGCGAAGGUGGCCUGUGAGGGUUGCUGGAGGUAUCAGAAGUGCGAAUGCUGACAUAAGUAACGAUAAAGCGGGUGAAAAGCCCGCUCGCCGGAAGACCAAGGGUUCCUGUCCAACGUUAAUCGGGGCAGGGUGAGUCGACCCCUAAGGCGAGGCCGAAAGGCGUAGUCGAUGGGAAACGGGUUAAUAUUCCCGUACUUGGUGUUACUGCGAAGGGGGGACGGAGAAGGCUAUGUUGGCCGGGCGACGGUUGUCCCGGUUUAAGCGUGUAGGUGUGUGUUCCAGGUAAAUCCGGUUCACUUUAACACUGAGGCGUGACGACGAGGCACUACGGUGCUGAAGCAACAAAUGCCCUGCUUCCAGGAAAAGCCUCUAAGCAUCAGGUAACAUCAAAUCGUACCCCAAACCGACACAGGUGGUCAGGUAGAGAAUACCAAGGCGCUUGAGAGAACUCGGGUGAAGGAACUAGGCAAAAUGGUGCCGUAACUUCGGGAGAAGGCACGCUGACACGUAGGUGAAGUGAUUUACUCAUGGAGCUGAAGUCAGUCGAAGAUACCAGCUGGCUGCAACUGUUUAUUAAAAACACAGCACUGUGCAAACACGAAAGUGGACGUAUACGGUGUGACGCCUGCCCGGUGCCGGAAGGUUAAUUGAUGGGGUCAGCGCAAGCGAAGCUCCUGAUCGAAGCCCCGGUAAACGGCGGCCGUAACUAUAACGGUCCUAAGGUAGCGAAAUUCCUUGUCGGGUAAGUUCCGACCUGCACGAAUGGCGUAAUGAUGGCCAGGCUGUCUCCACCCGAGACUCAGUGAAAUUGAACUCGCUGUGAAGAUGCAGUGUACCCGCGGCAAGACGGAAAGACCCCGUGAACCUUUACUAUAGCUUGACACUGAACAUUGAGCCUUGAUGUGUAGGAUAGGUGGGAGGCUUUGAAGUGUGGACGCCAGUCUGCAUGGAGCCGACCUUGAAAUACCACCCUUUAAUGUUUGAUGUUCUAACGUGGACCCGUUACCCGGGUUGCGGACAGUGUCUGGUGGGUAGUUUGACUGGGGCGGUCUCCUCCUAAAGAGUAACGGAGGAGCACGAAGGUUGGCUAAUCCUGGUCGGACAUCAGGAGGUUAGUGCAAUGGCAUAAGCCAGCUUGACUGCGAGCGUGACGGCGCGAGCAGGUGCGAAAGCAGGUCAUAGUGAUCCGGUGGUUCUGAAUGGAAGGGCCAUCGCUCAACGGAUAAAAGGUACUCCGGGGAUAACAGGCUGAUACCGCCCAAGAGUUCAUAUCGACGGCGGUGUUUGGCACCUCGAUGUCGGCUCAUCACAUCCUGGGGCUGAAGUAGGUCCCAAGGGUAUGGCUGUUCGCCAUUUAAAGUGGUACGCGAGCUGGGUUUAGAACGUCGUGAGACAGUUCGGUCCCUAUCUGCCGUGGGCGCUGGAGAACUGAGGGGGGCUGCUCCUAGUACGAGAGGACCGGAGUGGACGCAUCACUGGUGUUCGGGUUGUCAUGCCAAUGGCACUGCCCGGUAGCUAAAUGCGGAAGAGAUAAGUGCUGAAAGCAUCUAAGCACGAAACUUGCCCCGAGAUGAGUUCUCCCUGAGACUUAGAGUCUCCUGAAGGAACGUUGAAGACGACGACGUUGAUAGGCCGGGUGUGUAAGCGCAGCGAUGCGUUGAGCUAACCGGUACUAAUGAACCGUGAGGCUUAAC